GCCAGACUCCUACGGGAGGCAGCAGUGAGGAAUAUUGGUCAAUGGGCGGGAGCCUGAACCAGCCAAGUCGCGUGAGGGAAGAAGGUACUGAGUAUUGUAAACCUCCUUUGCCAGGGGACAAAGGCGGCCACGGGUGGCCGUAAGAGGGUACCUGGAGAAAAAGCAUCGGCUAACUCCGUGCCAGCAGCCGCGGUAAUACGGAGGAUGCGAGCGUUAUCCGGAUUUAUUGGGUUUAAAGGGUGCGUAGGCGGUUCGUUAUGUCAGUGGUCAAAUGGGGGGCCCCACCCCCUCCCCGCCAUUGAAACUGGCGCUCUUGAGUGGAAGAGAAGUAUGCGGAAUGCGUGGUGUAGCGGUGAAAUGCAUAGAUAUCACGCAGAACCCCGAUUGCGAAGGCAGCAUGCCGGCUUCCGACUGACGCUGAAGCACGAAAGCGUGGGGAUCGAACAGGAUUAGAUACCCUAGUA
RNAcentral lists this ribosomal RNA (464 nucleotides) under uncultured bacterium. RNAcentral's name for it is "partial 16S ribosomal RNA". It matches the Rfam family "Bacterial small subunit ribosomal RNA", at positions 330 to 792 of the family's 1533-position model. The record is from RNAcentral.